GCCUGCGGAGGGAUCAUUACCGAGUUUACAACUCCCAAACCCAAUGUGAACGUUACCAAACUGUUGCCUCGGCGGGGUCACGCCCCGGGUGCGUCGCAGCCCCGGAACCAGGCGCCCGCCGGAGGAACCAACCAAACUCUUUCUGUAGUCCCCUCGCGGACGUAUUUCUUACAGCUCUGAGCAAAAAUUCAAAAUGAAUCAAAACUUUCAACAACGGAUCUCUUGGUUCUGGCAUCGAUGAAGAACGCAGCGAAAUGCGAUAAGUAAUGUGAAUUGCAGAAUUCAGUGAAUCAUCGAAUCUUUGAACGCACAUUGCGCCCGCCAGUAUUCUGGCGGGCAUGCCUGUCCGAGCGUCAUUUCAACCCUCGAACCCCUCCGGGGGAUCGGCGUUGGGGAUCGGGACCCCUCACACGGGUGCCGGCCCCGAAAUACAGUGGCGGUCUCGCCGCAGCCUCUCCUGCGCAGUAGUUUGCACAACUCGCACCGGGAGCGCGGCGCGUCCACGUCCGUAAAACACCCAACUUUCUGAAAUGUUGACCUCGGAUCAGGUAGGAAUACCCGCUGAACUUAAGCAUAUCAAUAGCCCGGAGGAAA
This 594-nucleotide ribosomal RNA is filed under the name Trichoderma asperellum. RNAcentral describes it as "eukaryotic LSU rRNA". The stretch from base 203 to 356 matches the Rfam family "5.8S ribosomal RNA". Lineage: Eukaryota; Fungi; Ascomycota; Sordariomycetes; Hypocreales; Hypocreaceae. The record is from RNAcentral.